CAGCCGCCGCGGGAAUACGUAGGUCCCGAGCGUUGUCCGGAUUUAUUGGGCGUAAAGCGAGCGCAGGCGGUUAGAUAAGUCUGAAGUUAAAGGCUGUGGCUUAACCAUAGUACGCUUUGGAAACUGUUUAACUUGAGUGCAAGAGGGGAGAGUGGAAUUCCAUGUGUAGCGGUGAAAUGCGUAGAUAUAUGGAGGAACACCGGUGGCGAAAGCGGCUCUCUGGCUUGUAACUGACGCUGAGGCUCGAAAGCGUGGGGAGCAGACAGGAUUAGAUACCCCGGUAGUCCCUGUCUCUUAUACA
This 301-nucleotide ribosomal RNA is filed under the name uncultured bacterium. Its description in RNAcentral is "partial 16S ribosomal RNA". It matches the Rfam family "Bacterial small subunit ribosomal RNA", at positions 509 to 808 of the family's 1533-position model. The record is from RNAcentral.